RNAcentral lists this long non-coding RNA (1607 nucleotides) under Gouania willdenowi (blunt-snouted clingfish). RNAcentral describes it as "lncRNA (ENSGWIG00000017332.1)". Lineage: Eukaryota; Metazoa; Chordata; Actinopteri; Blenniiformes; Gobiesocidae. The record is from RNAcentral.
UUACUUUUAAGAAAUCUUUAUUAAAACUUACUCAUCCCACACAGUGCAUUUAUUACAUGAAUAAAUUGUGUAAAUAUUUGUAGUUUUACUUAAAAAAAAAUCAUGUUCUCCUAGAAUCUUUAUUACUAUGUAGAAAUUAUUAAAUACAAUUUAAUAUAAUUUACUAGCCCCAAGUUUGUUUUUUCAGUGUACUAUGUGUUUUUAUGUCUCUAUAUUGAUUUUGCAAUGUUAGAUUUUAGUACCACUAUUAAAUGUUGUCUCUCCUUUUCACCAUGUGUAAAGCAUAUUUAAUUGCAUUGUGUAUAAAAUGCGCCAAACAAAUACAUUUGCCUUGCUUUGCUAUAAUUACACGGAACUACAAAGCUGCUUUUUUUGAAGGCUCAACGUCGCCAAGUUGAACGCCUGCAGAAAUUACACAAACAUCACGAUGUAUGUGAAAGUCGUUAUGAAAAGGCAAGUGCAGAAUUGUUAGAGAUGGAGAGAGCGCAAACAGCGGUCUUCCAUCGUCGUCUGUUUUCAACGGUAAUGUUUCCUUCACGUUUUGAUAACAUACCUCAGGGUGAAAAACAUUAAUUCCUACUUUAUAACCUUGGUUUUUGCAUCUCCAUGCUCCUCUGUCAUGUAAUUAUGGAUGCUAAUCAAUAGCACAGCACAAUAACAGUUUACCUCGUAAACAAUAUCCACAUUUUCAGCACUUCAUACUUCUGUAUUAGUUUAAAUAGUUUCCUUCACCAUUGUUUUGCAGAUGCAAGAACAGACACAGAUAGAUGGAGAAAUGUUGGCAGAUAACAAGAAUGCAGAGAUAAUGGAACCCUUGAUGAAUACAGACAGCAUGAUGCUGAAUGAAGAAAUGGCUGGAGAAGAUGGAUUUUCACAUUCAAGCUCCAUGUCCAGCAUUUCCACAGAUGAGUAUGUACCAGAGUCAUCAGAGGACAGUUCAGAGGAAUCACCAAACCAGAGUCCUGCCGCAAAGAGGAAUAAGUUUAUUCCUUUGAAAGAAAACUCAAAAUGCCGCCGCAAAGGACAAAAAGGUAUGGAUUUAUUGUUGGAAAAAAAUUCAGAAGAGUUUCCCAGAGCCAAGAAAAAGACUUUCGGGAGAGCAAGUUCACUCUUUAGAGGAGACUGCUUAGUUACUCCACCUAGAAAAGAAGUUGAAGUUGAACGAAGACUCAAAACCAAGGUAAAUUACAAGACAAAGAAGAGACCCAUAGUUAGUAGCAAGGAUGAUAUAGGCAGAUCAAAACUAAAAAAGAUGAGAUAUAAGAGCAUUCGUAAGAUAGACUCAGACUCUGAGACAGAUCCGAGUGAUUCAGGUGACUCAAAAUUAAAGAAAAAGACACAACACAAGAGACAUCACGGGAGAGAGUCAAGUUACAGUGACACUCAAUCAAAUCAAGCAGACCAGAAAACACACGACAAAACAAGAGAGACUACUGUUCAGAGGAGGACUUGGAUGAGCCAAACCUGAAAAAGACUGAAUACAAGCAUCAUUACAAAAGUAAUAGUCACAGCAAGGAUUCAGAUGGAGUGAAACACACACAAAAGAAAUAUGACAAGAAGAAAGCAGGACUCAGAUCAAAAAGUAGAUACAUGUGGUCUAUGGAAGG